CGUAUCCCGAGGGUAGCACAAGCUGUGCUGAAGAGCUCAUGACCCUGGAGAGAAGGUGGAAAGGACGGCCGGGGUGUAGCUGAGUGGCGCGGUGGCUACCUGGUCCUGACUUCAAUCCCUGGUAUCCCCCCCCACCUCGCAAAAAAAACGAAAAAAGAUGAGAGGAAAUGUUCCAGAAUGUUAGCAGUGAUUUUUCUGGUGAAUAUCCUUUGCUUCCUGCUCUACCUGGAUGUCUGCUCUUCAGGAUUCAGACUCCCCUGAGAAUACAUUUGCCAGUCCUGUGUCAGCUGCCUUUGAUGUGUCUUCACUGUUCAUGGACUGCCUUUUCACACCGCAGAGACCCCUUUGAUUUCAGGAUUCUGAUUAUGCAAGGUUUAGAAGGAUCCCAGCCCUGCCAGGUAGCCCAAGGUGA
Molecule: long non-coding RNA, 412 nt
Filed under: Heterocephalus glaber (naked mole-rat)
Lineage: Eukaryota; Metazoa; Chordata; Mammalia; Rodentia; Bathyergidae
Description: lncRNA (ENSHGLG00100046591.1)
Source: RNAcentral